This 327-nucleotide ribosomal RNA is filed under the name uncultured eukaryote. RNAcentral describes it as "partial 18S ribosomal RNA". It matches the Rfam family "Eukaryotic small subunit ribosomal RNA", at positions 1470 to 1796 of the family's 1831-position model. The record is from RNAcentral.
CCCUUAGAUGUUCUGGGCCGCACGCGCGCUACACUGAUUCAUGCAACAAGUUUUGUCCUUGGCUGAUAGGCCUGGGUAAUCCUUGAACGUGAAUCGUGAUGGGGAUAGAUGAUUGCAAUUAUUCAUCUUCAACGAGGAAUUCCUAGUAAACGCAAGUCAUCAGCUUGCAUUGAUUACGUCCCUGCCCUUUGUACACACCGCCCGUCGCACCUACCGAUUGAAUGGUCCGGUGAAAUCUUCGGAUCUGAGAGAUGUCUGAUUAAUUUCGGACGCCUUUUGGAAAAGUUGUUUAAACCUUACCAUUUAGAGGAAGGUGAAGUCGUAACA